This 69-nucleotide transfer RNA is filed under the name Oostethus brachyurus (short-tailed pipefish). Its description in RNAcentral is "tRNA-Pro". It matches the Rfam family "tRNA". Rfam says of the family: Transfer RNA (tRNA) molecules are approximately 80 nucleotides in length. Their secondary structure includes four short double-helical elements and three loops (D, anti-codon, and T loops). Lineage: Eukaryota; Metazoa; Chordata; Actinopteri; Syngnathiformes; Syngnathidae. The record is from RNAcentral.
CAGAAUGUAGUUUAAAUAGAAUUCUAGCUUUGGGAGCUAGAGGUAGGCGUUUGAGUCGCUUUUUUCUGA